GAGAGGCAGCGGCUGCCGAGCAGGCUGGGAUCGGAUGGGAGAGGUCUUUCCUGGGCUGUAUUUGUUUGUUUGUGACUGGAGCUGCAAAGUUCAGAGCCAAACGUGUUGCUUUCCGGCGGCGGCGGCGGCAGCCCCAUUUCACCUGCUCCGCUGACAGGGUGCCUGCCCGGCCCGGGGCGGCCCCGCCGCUCUGCGGGCCCUCUGCCUGGCGUCCUCCCUGCCGCUGGGGCCGAAGGACGGGAGAGGAGCGCGGGGCUGCGUCUCCUGCCUGCCCGCCUUCCCCUCCGCGGCUGCCGGAGGGGCAACGGACAGGUGUAUCUACAGAAAGACAGAAAAUUAAUCACAGGAACAGAACACUGGAUUUUCUUCUAUGUGCAGACUACGCUGAUUGAAGUAUUGAAUCCACUUACAGCACCACCUUCCUGUUAAUAUUCCAUUUCAAUAGAUUGCUAAAAGGAACUGCAAAAUACUUCAAAGGCAAUAACUUCAUGCUUUCAUUGAGAACAUAGAUUCUACAGCAAG
This is a long non-coding RNA of Grus americana (Whooping crane), 522 nucleotides long. RefSeq lists it as uncharacterized. The transcript has 4 exons. The record is from RefSeq and is a predicted model, not a curated record. NCBI's taxonomy places the organism in Eukaryota, Metazoa, Chordata, Aves, Gruiformes, Gruidae.